GCAAAUCUCAUGUCUCGGAGACAUGAGAUUUGCAACCGUAGGACAUGAGAUUUUCGGCCUAAUCUGAGACCACUGACUUGAGGCCACAAAUAAGGGAUCAUCCACAAAGUACGUCCGUGAUUCGCUGUUCCAAAACUGCCAAGUUCAUCCUGUGCUAGCUCUCGGAGCGCCUGGUGGGUAGGCAACUUCUCGUAUGGAGUGCAUGUGUGUUCUGCGGGCUGGCCUACCUUGAGCCUCGCAGGCGCUCAUUUCCCUUUUUCGCUGAACGAAUCUUAGAAAAAUCGGGCGUACUUUCUGGAUGGUCCCUAAUCAGCCAAAACAGACUAAGAUCUUCCAACACAGGUUUAUACUUUUUGUGGCGGAAACAAAACUCACAACACAAAGGCCCGCUUUCAGCAAGUGAAACUCUACUAGUUCACGCUUGUGGCAAUUUUUAAAACGGUAAUUGAUUGCGAGGUGUAAUGAUAGAGAUACGAGGAAGGUUUUGUUAAUUAGAGCUCUAAUAGACGGUUCAUGCUCUGCGUGUUUCGAGAAGGAGUAAGGAAAUCAGGACUGGAGCCAGUAUGAUCCGCUUAUUUUCCUCAUUUAACAGUUCAGUUUCACAUAACUAUGUAUGACCUCGAGUAAGUCCAUCGUAACAAUGAAGGUUCAUUUGCACUAGUUUUUACUGUAGUGUUUUUCCAGUGACGAUUUCCUUAAUUCUUCUUGAAAUAUGGACCGUCUAUUUGUUGAAAACAAAUAAAUGGUAUGAGUGUGUGUGCCAUUACUUGGUUCGUGCAACUUUGAGAUGUCUGUUGUUGUUUACAUUGCACUAUGUUGUUUCUCGCAGUCCAGUUUAACACUCAAACACUUGAGGGGUCCUAGUGCCUACCUUGACUCCACUCUGGUAGCAGCAGCAGCACCUUUCCAUAGCUAUCUCCAUGUUGACAGCAGAUAGCCUAGGCCUGGUCCAGCGGGAUCACUAUUAGGCAGCAAUUUAAAAGCUGGCUUCGUCUUUAGACAAGAAAUUUGUCCACAUUUCACUAUUACAGGCGAGUUGGCAACGACUCUUUUUCUGUUUACCCGACGCCCGGUUGUCAUGUUCGAAAUCUCACUGCAUGGUUUCACUUCACAGAUUCACACUACACGCAAUAAUAACUACAGUAAACACAAUGUGCUUUGUGGGUUUGUUGUUCUUUUCCUCGCCGCCUUCAAAGUUAUGUGAUACGCACUAUCGACACACUACGAGAUCGUUAUGCGCAGUGCGAGUGCAAAUAGCGCGUACAAAAGCAGACAGACGAACAUUUCGUUUUCAGAAUCGGUGUUUUGCUGCUGUUGUAGUGUGUCAUUGUCUGUCUUCAUUCUACUCAUUGCGAGCGAUACUCCUCGAGGAUAAAUAGCUGCCAGACUGGCCAGCAUCACCCUGGUUGUUGAGGAAUUGCCAAGCGAACGUCUUCUGCACUGCUGCCGUACCACAAAUUCCUUGGACUCGCAUAUGCUCAUAUUUUGCGAGACAAUUUCUUCCUAGAGAUUGUCAUUCUUCAAAGCAAUUACUCUGAGGCAGUGCACAUUUGGACACACAUUUCCUCAUUUUCAUCAAGUGGAGAAUAACGGACUGCAAACAGGGUAGAUUAAGUAUCCGAAUGAGGAGAUAAGAAGAACUUUGCCUGAAUCUCUUUAAAAUGUGAUUGUAUAUAUUCGUUAAUGAAUAAAAAUUCUGAGGCUGGUGUCGAGGGA
Molecule: long non-coding RNA, 1716 nt
Organism: Frankliniella occidentalis (western flower thrips)
Lineage: Eukaryota; Metazoa; Arthropoda; Insecta; Thysanoptera; Thripidae
Exons: 4
Source: RefSeq, a predicted model, not a curated record